CCUACGGGUGGCAGCAGUGGGGAAUAUUGCACAAUGGGGGAAACCCUGAUGCAGCGACGCCGCGUGAGUGAAGAAGUAUUUCGGUAUGUAAAGCUCUAUCAGCAGGGAAGAAAAGGACGGUACCUGAUUAAGAAGCCCCGGCUAACUACGUACCAGCAGCCGCGGUAAUACGUAGGGGGCCAGCGUUAUCCGGAUUUACUGGGUUUAACGGGAGCGUAGACGGCAGCACAAGUCUGGAGUGAAAUGCCGGGGCUUAACCACGGAACUGCUUUGGAAACUGUGCAGCUUGAGUGCAGGGGAGGUAAGCGGAAGUCCUAGUGUAGCGGUGAAAUGCGUAGAUAGUAGGAGGAACUCCAGUGGCGAAGGCGGCUUACUGGACUGUAACUGACGUUGAGGCUCGAAAGCGUGGGGAGCAAACAGGAUUAGAUACCCGAGUAGUC
This 440-nucleotide ribosomal RNA is filed under the name uncultured bacterium. RNAcentral's name for it is "partial 16S ribosomal RNA". It matches the Rfam family "Bacterial small subunit ribosomal RNA", at positions 338 to 795 of the family's 1533-position model. The record is from RNAcentral.